GAUGAAGAACGUAGCGAAAUGCGAUAAGUAAUGUGAAUUGCAGAAUUCAGUGAAUCAUCGAAUCUUUGAACGCACCUUGCGCCCUUUGGCCAUUCCGAAGGGCAUGCCUGUUUGAGUAUCAUGAACACCUCAACUCUCAUGGCUCGCCAUGAUGAGCUUGGACUUUGGGGGUCUUGCUGGCCUGUGGUCGGCUCCUCUCAAAUGGAUCAGCUUGCCAGUGUUUGGUGGCAUCACAGGUGUGAUAACUAUCUGCGCUUGUGGUUUUCCAUCAGAUAACCUUCAGUGAUGGAGGUUCGCUGGAGCUCAUAAACGUCUCCCCUAAGCGGGGACAGCCCUUUGAAUGUUUGAGCUCAAAUCAGGUAGGACUACCCGCUGAACUUAAGCAUAUCAAUAAGCGGAGGA
Molecule: unclassified non-coding RNA, 402 nt
Filed under: soil metagenome
Description: partial contains 5.8S ribosomal RNA, internal transcribed spacer 2, and large subunit ribosomal RNA
Rfam family: 5.8S ribosomal RNA (bases 1-121)
Source: RNAcentral